GGAACACUGACACAAGAUGUGGAGGACUCUUUGUCUCGUCUCACUCGUAUGGGUUUCUACGGGUCAUGGUGACGGUCGUGGAUCACCAAACGUACCAGAAGUACCAACUAGCACUCUGUCACCCACUGUUAAUGACUCUAACCCCGCAACAACACAAAGCACCAGAGCCUCCCAGAGCUUCUGUGAAAACGUCUUGAUUAAGUGUCGACAGAUGAAUUACUCCUGGACCAGGUGUUAUGAUGACAAAAUUCGAGCCUGUAGACCCAAAGGACGUUUUACGCCAAACUUCAUUUGUAGGAGUGUGAACUUAUCUCAAGAGGUUGAGGAGGGUCUUACCUCUGAGCACAGGGUUCACAUCCCAUCCUCAGCUCUCCAGAGAUGCAGUGGAGGUGCACAUCAGAGGGAGGUACAGUUAGUGAUCACCGUGCUCGACAGCAGUUACUUCAAGCUGACUCCCCAACCACGAAGGGGAACCAGAAGAUUUGGCCCUGUGCACAUGAAAGGUGAAAUUAUGGGGGGUACAGUGCUGGUAGUGAAGGCAGGGCACCGUCCUGUCAGCAACCUCUCACAACCCAUCAUAUUAACCUUCAAACACAACGAAACGAUAAAAAAUGGGACUUGUGUGUUUUGGCAAGAGUCAGAAGAAGGUGAUGGAACAGGUCACUGGAGCACAGAAGGCAUUCUUACCAGUGUCAAUGGAACUCAUUUUAACUGUAGUUGCGACCAUCUGAGCUUCUUUGCUGUGCUUGUGAACCCGGAAAUAUCAGUGGAUAAAAGAAAUGCUGAGAACCUUAGUUAUAUCACCUACGUUGGAUCAGCCCUCUCUGUCUUCUUCACAGCCAUCAGCUUGAUCAUCUACAUAUGUCUGCAACGGCGCCGUCCAGAGAAGGCCAUCAGUGUGCAUAUGCAACUAACAGGUGCACUGCUCUGCCUACACCUCAGUUUCCUGCUGUGCAGCUUUUGGGCGAACAUGCUGGAAGUGACAGAGGAGGACUUGGUUUGCAAAGCUCUGGGUUUCUUCUUACACUGGUCCCUGCUGGCCACCAUCAGCUGGAUGGCUCUGGAGGGAUUCCACCUCUACCUUCUCCUUGUCCGGGUCUUUAACAUCUAUGUCAGGAGAUACGUGCUCAAACUCAGCUUGGUGGGAUGGGGUGCCAGACAGACUGAGGACAACAUGGACCCAAACACGACGAUUCUGCGAGUCAAGAGAAAAAGGGGCACCGACCCCGCGGAUGCUUUGUUGCUGGCUUGCAAACGUAUCCGACCAGAGACGUCCCAAAAUACCGGCGAGACGGUACCGGAGCCCAAUGAAGCCGAGGUGGAAAACUCCGUGUUCAAACUCGUGGCGACCGUAGCGACGCAGGAUGCUCCCGUUCAGACGCAGGUUCGACAGGCCCUGGCCCGGCCUCGCAUGGCCCAUGCGCUGCGCCCCUCUGCCGGCAGCUCUCAACGGAUCACCGGGGACCUACGGAGCACUAAGUGGAGCACCAGGAGGGAGGAACGCUACAGAAUACUGUCCAGCCACCGCACAGGUCUGUCUAGCCCCGCCGAGCAGCAGGAUCCCCAGACAGAUACCUCUGAGGGGGCAGAAGAAACUGAGAAACAGCAGGACAAGUGUUUGGGUGUUGGUGAAAUCCAGGUGGUGGAUCUCAUACAUGAGGAUGAACAAGGCGAGGACAAGUUGUCUGGCAAGGUGCAGACCCAGGACCCAGAGGUGAUCAUGUGCAACAACACCAAGAUGCUGCGGGAGCGUCUGAGCAUAACCGGAGAGCGAGGCGGCGACAGGCAGCGUGAGCAGGAAGAGGACUACGUGUAUGAUCUGUACUACCAGGAAACGGUCACACCCGGGUGGAUUCAGGACAUCCUGUCCGUCAGGGCCUACGCCGAUGAGGGAGAACUGGUGUGUGUGGAUGGAUGGACGGAACAGAUGAAUGAGUGCAAAACACGGAGUGCCCGACGUUGUGGUGCAUGAAGAGGAGGUGUACGAAGAUGACGACGACGAGAAUGAAGAAAGCAACUGGAGGAACGACUACCCCGAUGAGGAGAGUGGGUCAGGCAGCGACAGAGAGGAGCGCUACGGUGGUUACUGGGAGGAGGAGCACUCGUACAGCCGGAGGAACUGGGAGCGCUACCAGAGGGAAGUGCUGCAUGAGCAUGCUGAAGAUGACGAUGAAGAUGAUGGGAACAAAUAUGAUUCCAAUUGAUCUACCCUCCCAUUAUUAUUAUAGCAUCUAUCUGUGGCUCUCCUCUUCAUGAAAUACACCAUACUCCAUAGACCUCUGUGUAGGAAAAAAACCAAACAUCUUAUGUGUAGCACUCAUCACACAUCAGUUAAUAAUGAGGUCCAAUCAAUACAUUUGUGCCAAUAUUAAAAAUUUGACAACCACAGAACACUUAGUCGUCUCACUGUUCAGAGAAUUGCACAUGUACCAAACUCGAGCUCCACCCUUUGCUACACAGAUGUUGAAGGAGCAGGUGUUAUUUCCAGCAGGACCCAGUGUCUUUUUUUUCUUUUUUUAAAUCUGUGGUGGAGUGAAUUUGUGUGUGGGUGUUUGUUCCAAGUGGGUGGGUGGGUGUGUGUGUGUGUGUGUGUGUGUGUGUUGCACAUCAGUGUGAGUUGCCUCGUAUGCUUCGUGCUGUUAACACUUCUGUAAGUGAGACGUCUCGAGUCGCGUGUGGUUGCAGUUUUUAGGGUGUUUGCAUUUUGUGCAUGGUAGCGUGUGUACGUACAAGUUGUGUGUGUGUGUGUUUAGAAUUUGCAUAAUGUGAAAGCGUGGCGCGUAUAUUUUUUGUUGUUGUGGGUGUGCGUGAGUUUGGUUCAGAAAUGUACCCUUUUUUUUUUUUGGAAGAUCCGACUGUUUCUCUGGAAUGCUUGUCAAAUUAAACUUUUUGUAAAUAUGUAGAUGUGUAUAAAAAGAAAGCUUUCAAAAUAAAUGGAAA
This is an RNA transcript of Scomber scombrus (Atlantic mackerel), 2940 nucleotides long. It is a transcript of the gene named solute carrier family 7 member 6 opposite strand, with no coding region annotated. The record is from RefSeq and is a predicted model, not a curated record. The transcript is spliced from 15 exons. Lineage: Eukaryota; Metazoa; Chordata; Actinopteri; Scombriformes; Scombridae.